GGCUCAGGAUGAACGCUAGCGGCAGGCCUAACACAUGCAAGUCGAGGGGGUAUUUAGGAGCUUGCUCCUAAGAGACCGGCGCACGGGUGCGUAACGCGUAUGCAAUCUACCUUGUACAGGGGAAUAGCCCAGAGAAAUUUGGAUUAAUGCCCCAUAGUAUAAUUGAAUCGCAUGGUUUAAUUAUUAAAGUUCCAACGGUACAAGAUGAGCAUGCGUCCCAUUAGUUAGUUGGUAAGGUAACGGCUUACCAAGACAAUGAUGGGUAGGGGUCCUGAGAGGGAGAUCCCCCACACUGGUACUGAGACACGGACCAGACUCCUACGGGAGGCAGCAGUGAGGAAUAUUGGUCAAUGGGCGCAAGCCUGAACCAGCCAUGCCGCGUGCAGGAAGAAGCAUCUAUGGUGUGUAAACUGCUUUUGUACAGGAAGAAACACUCCCUCGUGAGGGAGCUUGACGGUACUGUAAGAAUAAGGAUCGGCUAACUCCGUG
RNAcentral lists this ribosomal RNA (489 nucleotides) under uncultured bacterium. RNAcentral's name for it is "bacterial SSU rRNA". It matches the Rfam family "Bacterial small subunit ribosomal RNA", at positions 21 to 507 of the family's 1533-position model. The record is from RNAcentral.